Molecule: long non-coding RNA, 349 nt
Filed under: Equus caballus (horse)
Lineage: Eukaryota; Metazoa; Chordata; Mammalia; Perissodactyla; Equidae
Description: lncRNA (ENSECAG00000049084.1)
Source: RNAcentral
AACAAGUAAGAAAGGAACUCAAGUCAUCAUUAAUUGGAGCACCAGCUGGGGAGAAAAGGCUCAGAAACAAGGUAGACGGAAACCCAGGUGCCCAAGGUCAACCUGAUGGCCAAGGUCUCAGCUGGUGCCCAAGGUCAACCUGAUGCCCAGGUCUCAGCUGGUGCCCCAGGUCAACCUGAUGAAUAGUCCAGGCACUAAGGCUGAGACCUCAGAAGCCUGGGCUGGGGCACCUGCCUUGGGCAAGGGAGGUAGGGAUGGCCCUGCUAAGGGUCUAGGGUGCCAGCUGUGGGCAGACAAGAGCAAAGGGGUGGAGGAGCAGGCCGGGCAUCAUGGGGACUGGGCAAGGCAG